Molecule: long non-coding RNA, 396 nt
Filed under: Phoenix dactylifera (date palm)
Lineage: Eukaryota; Viridiplantae; Streptophyta; Magnoliopsida; Arecales; Arecaceae
Description: long non-coding RNA (PDAC_LNC015460)
Source: RNAcentral
AUUCCUUUGGAAGAGAUAAAAUCCGUAAUUAAUUACAGAAAAAGUUUGAAGUAAACAUUUUAACCCUUCUAUAUUGCUCAUCAUAGGGAUGGUGCCAAUGGGGAGGCUAGUGGUAGUACCCGGCACUAUUUGACCCAACUAUUCGGUGUAGGACAUAUUAGGGACGGCACAAGAGGGAGGCUAGUGGUAGUACCUCGUGCCCCUUCCAACUCCACCGGAUAGGGAGCAAAUAGAAUAUAGAGCAUAGAAAAGUAAAACCGAAAAACAAAUGAAGAUAAUCAAAAUACUCAUUGAGUGGUUAAAGAAAGAAAUUAAAAAAAAAUUGGGGAAUGAAUGAUAAAUAAAUGAAAAUAUAUAAGAAGGUUGUGAAAAAGCAAAUGAAGUUUCAAUCACUUG